RNAcentral lists this small RNA (3867 nucleotides) under Rattus norvegicus (Norway rat). RNAcentral's name for it is "uncharacterized LOC108349194". Lineage: Eukaryota; Metazoa; Chordata; Mammalia; Rodentia; Muridae. The record is from RNAcentral.
CAGGAGGCAGAGGUAGGUGGAUCUCCAGUUGGAGGCCAGCCUGGUCUUCCAGGGAGGCCAAGGCAACAGAGAGAAGCCCUGUGGGGAUGCGAUGAGGAGACAGCAUUCCUAGACUCCAGCCACGGAAGUAGUUAUGCUAACUGAAGAUUGGUACCUCCCCCCAACUCUCCUAAAGUCAGUCCUCCAGUCUUAUCCCAGCUCUGUAGCAAACUAUCUGCUACAGCCACACCAUGCUGCCACCAGUGGGUCACACAGAUCUCUCACUUCCAACUCAUUAUUUUAUCCCAUCCUACAAACCUAGUAGGCACUCCCUAGGAACCCACAGGUCAUUCCAGCCAGGAAAGCAGGCAGGCUAACUGCGUAUGUCCACCUCUCUGUUCCUUCAAAUCAAUCCCCCAGUCUCAGCUUGUAACAGACUACUUGCUGUGGCCUCUCAUUACUCUCUCUACCUCCACUCCUAAGCAGAUCCUGGUGGAACACCCUGCUUUCCUCUCUCCUGUGGGUCCCUUAGCCCCACCCCCAGAUCAUCCCCAUUCCUGUGUCAGCUCUUAAUACCUAGGAACACACUUUACCCAGAACCCUCAGUGGCCACACUCACCAGGAUCUCUGAAGAACAAAGCAUCCACCCAACAAAGACAAGACCAGAUAUCAUCAGCAAGAAUUACAAUUUUCCCAAACCCAGAUGGCUACAUGCCAAUGUAAAAACACAUCAAUAACAGCCAGAACAACAUGUCUCCACUAGAGCCCACGGCAGGCCCUGAGAAUUUUAGCAUAGCUGAACCAUACAACAAAGACCUUAUGAGAAAGAUAGAUGUUCUUAAAGAAAAAAGGAAAAAAUCCCUUAAAGAAAUCUAUGAACAUACUAGCAAGUGGCAAAAGGAAAUGAAUAAAACAGUUCAAGACUGAAAGUGGAAAUAAACCCCAAAUUAAGGAAAAUCUGGAAAUGAAAAUUUUAGGAAUGCACCAGGACACUCACAGGUAAGCCUCACCUACAGAAUACCUACACCUACAGAUGGAGGUGAGAGUCUCAGGCACUGAAGACAUGGAUAUGAAAUUGCCAACUAAUGGGGGAAGGGCAGAGCACUGACUGGCUAUCUCUUAUCAUCAAAUGAAGCUUCUAGUACUGAGUUUAGGUUACAUCUAAUUGAGCUGUUGGCCAAAGGGGUCUCAUGGGAAUCUCCAAGUAACCCAGAUUAGUGCCUAGACUAUCAGUUGCUCUCCCCAAACUGAUGAAGACAACAGUCACUGAAUGUGGAGAAGUCGGGCUGCUGUAUCUAAAGGACUGACUCUCACCCCUAAUUUCUGUCAUCUUUGGUACAGAAAGGUAUUCUGCAAGCUACACAAACAAACAAAUGCAACCAUAAAUCCUUGGAUUGACAAUGGUGUCCUGCCUGCAAGACAUGCUAAUUCAAAGUGUCACAACAUUGCUGGAGUAACCAACCGAUUUCUGAUUUGACUGAAGGCCUACUCCAUGAGCUAUUCCGGACACUGUUUGGUGCCCAAAACCCUGAGACUAAAUAGCCCAGGGUUCUAAGGUAAAAUAAGACUGGUCUUAAAAAGAAAGCUAGGAAUAAAAUGACUCCUAAUGACAUUCUGUGCUCAUAGGUCAGUGCCCUGCUCAGACAUCAUCAGAGAAGCUUCCUCCUGCAGCAGACGGGAACAAAUACAGGAUCUACAGCCAGACAUUACACAGAAGCCUUGGAACAUGCAGCCCUAAAUGGGAUGUCUCCAUUAAAUCCCUGCCCUCAGGGCUCAGGGAACCUUGCAGAAGAGGAGGUGGAACGAGUGAAAGAACCAGAAAGGAUGGAGGACUACAAGAGAACAAGAGCAAAGCCCACCAUGAGAAGGGAGAGGAGCAGCCAGACUGCAUGGUCCUUCUGCUCGGUGGAAGAACAAGCCUUUGACCAUCUGGGUUGCUCUACUGCUGUCUUAUGAGUAAAAAAUUUAAUUUGAAGAUGGAAAUUCCUGCCCUCCAUCCCAAACUCUGACUUUCAGAAUAAGUUCUAUAAAUACAUCUAAUAAAACCAGGAACUACAAUGAAGGGUGAGUAUUAAGAUGUUUAGAAAAGUUACUAAAAUAGUCUUUAAUAAUUAAUUACUUAUAAUUCAGGAACACUCAUAGUCAAAACUUAAAUGCACUGGAAGAAAAGGAAAAGCAGGAGGUUAUUUUCUUCUGUCUUCAGAAAAAAGAUUUAUAUAUUUUGAGUCAUUCAACAAUAUAUGCUGAGUACCACUAGUAGAGUGAGUUAAGUAGCAAAUCUGCCAACAGAACUUAAAUAUUCUCUUUUAAUACUGAGUAUUAUUAUUACAGUUAACUGCAUGGUUGUGUCAGCACAUAUGUACCACGCGCAGUACAUGGCAGAGGUCAGAGAACGACUUUCACAAGCUGGUUCUCUUUUUCCUCCAAGGCUUCCUGGGUUUGAACUCCAUCAGGACUACACGACCAAGAGCUUUAUCCAUUCUGAGCCAUCAUGCUGGUGUUCAGACAUCAUUCUUACCCAAUCUCAGUGCUUAGCUGUCAUGGCUUCAUGAAUCAGCACCAAGACGUGCAAAAUCAGUCAGAGGUCUUCUUGUGCAAUUAUGAGGGAAACUGCCCAAACGGGCGUUUUUUUACUUUUCUUUUUAUUAUGAGACAGGGCCUUAAAGGUUUAAUUUUUACAUUAAUUCUUGUUUUCUCUUUUUGAAUCAGCCUCACUUCAUACCUUAGAAAAGCCUGGAUCUUUUAAUCCUUCUGCCUCUGCCUCUCAAGUCAAGGACUAUAGAUUUGUGUUACCAUAACCAAAUCUAAACUGGCAAAUUAAUGUUCGGCAUAGCAAAAAGCCUUUCUCUGAAUGGUACUGCUAAGAGAGUGAAGAGACAAACUGCCAACACUGGGAGAAAUACUUGCAAAUUAUGAAUAUGAAAAAGGAUGUACAUCUGAAAACGAAUAAAUCUCAGUGCUCAACAACACAGGGCCAGGUGUGGAGGUGCACAGCUUCCAGCACUUGGGGGCUGGAGGGCAGAAUGCCUGAGUUCAAGGCCAUCCAGGGCUACACAGAGACCCGUCUCACAAACCAAAACAAUCAAAGCUCAACAACAAGAAAACAAACAACUUGACCCAAGACAAGAAAUUGAUGGCUACUAGGCAGAUGAAAAGAUGCCUAACACAGAAAGCCUUAAGACACAUUGGAGAAAUACAAAAUAAAACCAGAGCACAAUGCUGGUGCCAAGCUAAUAGAAUAGCACACAGUCAUUCAUUGGUGAGUGUCUGUCUGUCUCUUCCACAGACUCACGGAUACAAGCACAUCUUUAAAUAAGAAUUAGUGCCAAGAAGACAAACUUGUCUUUGCUUAUUACUUGCAGGAAUGCAUCAGAGUCCUAUCACCUUCUAAACCAGACUCCUGAAAACAGCAACAGCAACAACAGCAACAGCACUGAACAUCGAACAUGGAUCUCACCACCUCACUCCUUGGACCUGGCCCAAGAGAGAUGAAAACUAUGUUAUCCUAGAACCUGCACUAGAAGGUUCAUAGAAACUGUUCUCAUUGAUUCCCAAGACUGAAGUAACUCAAGUGUUCUUCAGCACCAAUGGUCAGUGAGUGUGGUGCACCUGUGUGAGGGAAGCACCUGACAUCAGGAGAAGCUGGUAUGUCACACACUGAGAGGCAGAAGACAGUCGGAUAUGCACACACUAAUGUUCACAUGACAGUCUGCAAAAGGGCAAAUUACUCAACAGAGACGGGGAAGAACAGCAGUUGACAGUGGGAGGAGUUAGAACGCAAUGCAGCAACAAGCCACAGCUGUUUUGCAGUGUUCUCAAGAGCAUUCCUGGAGAUUCCUCAGAAAAUUGUUAAUAGAUCUAUCUGAAGACCCGGCUACACCACUCUUG